This 916-nucleotide ribosomal RNA is filed under the name uncultured archaeon. RNAcentral's name for it is "bacterial SSU rRNA". It matches the Rfam family "Archaeal small subunit ribosomal RNA", at positions 4 to 926 of the family's 1478-position model. The record is from RNAcentral.
CCGGUUGAUCCCGCCGGACCUGACUGCUAUCGGAUUGAUACUAAGCCAUGCGAGUCAUUGUAGCAAUACAAGGCAGACGGCUCAGUAACGCGUAGUCAACCUAACCUAUGGACGGGAAUAACCUCGGGAAACUGAGAAUAAUGCCCGAUAGAACACUAUAUCUGGAAUGGUUUGUGUUCCAAAUGAUUUAUCGCCGUAGGAUGGGACUGCGGCCUAUCAGUUUGUUGGUGAGGUAAUGGCCCACCAAGACUAUUACAGGUACGGGCUCUGAGAGGAGUAGCCCGGAGAUGGGUACUGAGACACGGACCCAGGCCCUAUGGGGCGCAGCAGGCGAGAAAACUUUGCAAUGUGCGAAAGCACGACAAGGUUAAUCCGAGUGGUUUGUGCUAAACGAACCUUUUGUCGGUCCUAGAAACACCGAUGAAUAAGGGGUGGGCAAGUUCUGGUGUCAGCCGCCGCGGUAAAACCAGCACCUCAAGUGGUCAGGAUGAUUAUUGGGCCUAAAGCAUCCGUAGCCGGCGCUGUAAGUUUUCGGUUAAAUCUGUACGCUCAACGUACAGGCUGCCGGGAAUACUGCAGCGCUAGGGAGUGGGAGAGGUAGACGGUACUCGGUAGGAAGGGGUAAAAUCCUUUGAUCUAUUGAUGACCACCUGUGGCGAAGGCGGUCUACCAGAACACGUCCGACGGUGAGGGAUGAGAGCUGGGGGAGCAAACCGGAUUAGAUACCCGGGUAGUCCCAGCUGUAAACUAUGCAAACUCAGUGAUGCAUUGGCUUGUGGCCAAUGCAGUGCUGCAGGGAAGCCGUUAAGUUUGCCGCCUGGGAAGUACGUACGCAAGUAUGAAACUUAAAGGAAUUGGCGGGGGAGCACCACAAGGGGUGAAGCCUGCGGUUCAAUUGGAUUCAACGCCGGAAAUC